CCCCAGGGCUGGGGCUAGAGAGUUAGUUCUCUGGCAGCAGCCAAGAGGGAAGGAGUUCUCAUAGAGGAAGCUAACUGGAGAUGCUUGACUGCCUGUUCUGAAAAUCUCAGAUGCAAUUUCCGAAUGGGGAAAAAAUAUCUACAGACCCUCCCAGGACCUUAUAAAAGAGAAAAAAAAAAAGGUAUGGCUGAUGCAGUGAAUAAUAUGAUCUCAGCAGAAGGAAAACAAAACUCAGGAGACAAGGAUCUCUGCUCUGUUCCCAGCUCUUUUCUUUGUAGAGGGCGGAGAGCUCCUAGCAAAGGAAGACCCUGCUGCCAUCCUUCUCUCUACAUGUGAAAGAGACCUCUGCAUGGAAAACAUGUACCCUGCUAUCCCACCUACUGCUACCUCCCUCAGGGACACAUUACUGCUCUCCCUUCUAAAUGUUAAUGGCAGUGUGGGUGACUUCAUUGGAAAGAAUAAAAGUUGUCAUUUCA
Alligator mississippiensis (American alligator) is the source of this 476-nucleotide long non-coding RNA. RefSeq lists it as uncharacterized. The transcript has 4 exons. The record is from RefSeq and is a predicted model, not a curated record. Lineage: Eukaryota; Metazoa; Chordata; Crocodylia; Alligatoridae.